Non-coding RNA from Malus domestica (apple), 1842 nucleotides. The record is from RefSeq and is a predicted model, not a curated record. NCBI's taxonomy places the organism in Eukaryota, Viridiplantae, Streptophyta, Magnoliopsida, Rosales, Rosaceae.
UGUAAUGUGAUUUUGUUCACAUUUUAUGCAAUUGAUCGCUGGGCAUUUGAAGACGAACAUGGAGGAAAAGUUGGAUAAUUAUCCUCCUAAACUGAGCAGCUAUAAUUAUAACACGUUGAAAAAAAAAUGGAGCUCAAAUUUGAAACUGCAAUUAGCAGUUGCAAUUGGUUUUAUUCCUUUCCCACAAAAACUAAAUGUCUUCACUCUCAGGAUGAUUGGUGAAUCCCCAGUGAUCGAUGCGUUUUCAAUAUAUGAGUUGGUGGUUUCGUUCUUUUGGGGAAAAUAUGGAAGAAGGAAGAGAAAUAGCGGAAGAAGAGGGAACAAAAAUAGUUUUGAGUCAUCCUAUUCUGUUUUAGAUUUGGGCCUCAAGAGCGGAGCAGAAGAGGACUUGAUCAUGUUUUUUUUCUUCAUUUAGAUGGUUGAUCUACUCUCUUAUUUGGCGCUCUGACUUUUUUAUCUGCUUCUAUUUCCUAGGUGUAUUUUUUUAUAGACAAUUGGUGGACGAUGGUUUGACGGGACGGCGUGCUCUGAGAGGCUACGUGAAGGGUAUAUUUCUAUUUUCUUUUUCUUCCAUGUUUUAUUUAUUUAUUGGUGAUCAAAUGAUACUUUGUUCUUCUUCCAUUUUGGAAGAAAAAUGUUAUAAUUGCUCUAUUCUGUAAUGGUUUUAAGGCUUUACAGAUGUCCUUAAUUGUUUAUGUCAUGUUUAGUUUAUCGUAAUACUGUAAUCUACGAUCAAACCUAUAUAUGUAGUAUGAACGCUAUAUCAUAGAAGGGAUUUUAUUUUCUUACUUUGUAUUCAGAGGAAACAAAGAAAAACCAUGGGAAGACAUCUACAGUCGGUCCAGGAACAAUGAUUAUAGAAUUUGGUUCAACUUCUUAUUUCCUGUAAUCAGUUCAACUUCUUAAUUCUUUAUAUUCAGUUGGAUUUCCUCUUCGUUGGGGUUGAUUAUAGAAUUUGGGAUUGUUCAUUUGGUGUUUCAAGUAUUCGUAAGAGUGUUUGCUUAGUUUUUAGGGUGAUAUCCUUAUUGCGUUGCUCUUUACUUGGACCAAAAUAAAGAAACACACUUGAAACCCUUGCUUUCUGUAAGUUUUUUUAGGAAAGGGGAAAAGUACGGGUAGCACUACUUCUCCUUUUAUUUGAAUAGGAGUGAGGAGACAAGAAUGCAUAUACACUGCAAAAAAAAAAAAGGUCUAAGAACACAAUUCAUUGGUGCCCUUUUAUCUCGAAUUGAUGAAGUAAAGAUGUUCUUUAUCUGCGUAUGCUUUGUCUAUUGUUGUUACUUCGUGUUUCGAUCAAUUUUUCUUUGCAUAAAUAAGAUGCCAUGCAAGCAAGUAAAGCUUUCUGGGUUUUACAUGUCUACUGAUUCUGAAGCUGGAGUGCCAAACCAUGAAAAUGGUCGUCAGAUUGAGGUUUAAGAGUUGCUUGACUAUUAAAUAUUUUACGUUGUUUAAAAUAUUGUUCAACGAAGAGUUGCUUGGCUAUGAAUUAGUGUAAGAUUCAGAGGAAUGUAGUUUAUCAUACUCAAGAGUGCAGGUACGCAUAAUUUUAUAUGUAAUUGAUUCUUCUUCGCUAAUAAUCUUCCCCUAUUUCCUUUUGUUCUGUAUAUAAUGGAUCGUCUUAAAUUUACAGGUUCAUGGCUCAUUCAGGCUGCAAAGGAUUUGAUUACUUUCUUUUUAGGAAUAUGAACUGAAACAACUUCAUAGUUCGGGUGUAAUUAUUUGUCUUAUCAAGUAAAUAACUGUAUCUUAUGAUCUGUUUGUUUUUUUCAUGCAUGGGAUUGUAUUUUUGAUUGGAAGGUUAUAAAAAUGAACACCUUUUACAGUGCUCCAAAAUACGAUAGA